This 918-nucleotide ribosomal RNA is filed under the name Sclerotium tuliparum. RNAcentral's name for it is "LSU rRNA". It matches the Rfam family "Eukaryotic large subunit ribosomal RNA", at positions 38 to 961 of the family's 3401-position model. Lineage: Eukaryota; Fungi; Basidiomycota; Agaricomycetes; Agaricales; Typhulaceae. The record is from RNAcentral.
GCAUAUCAAUAAGCGGAGGAAAAGAAACUAACAAGGAUUCCCCUAGUAACGGCGAGUGAAGCGGGAAGAGCUCAAAUUUAAAAUCUGGCGGUGUAUUCCGUCCGAGUUGUAGUCUAGAGAAGCGUCAUCCGCGCCGGACCAUGUACAAGUCUCUUGGAACAGAGCGUCAUAGAGGGUGAGAAUCCCGUCCUUGACAUGGACUCCCGGUGCUUUGCGUUGCGCUCUCGACGAGUCGAGUUGUUUGGGAAUGCAGCUCAAAAUGGGUGGUAAAUUCCAUCUAAAGCUAAAUAUUGGCGAGAGACCGAUAGCGAACAAGUACCGUGAGGGAAAGAUGAAAAGCACUUUGGAGAGAGAGUUAAACAGUACGUGAAAUUGUUGAAAUGGAAACGAUUGAAGUCAGUCGCGUUCUCUGGGAUUCAGCCUUGCUUCUGCUCGGUGCAUUUCCUAGUUUACGGGCCAGCAUGGAUUUCGACCGUUGGAAAAGGGCUGGAGGAAUGUGGCACCCUCGGGUGUGUUAUAGCCUCCUGUCGCAUGCAUCGGUCGGGAUCGAGGACCUCAGUGCACGCUUCGGUUGUGCUUUGAUGCUGGCGUAAUGGCUUUAAACGACCCGUCUUGAAACACGGACCAAGGAGUCUAACAUGUCUGCGAGUAUUUGGGUGAAAAACUCGGAUGCGCAAUGAAAGUGAUAGUUGGGAACCUUUUCACGAGGGGGCACCGACGCCCGGACCAGACCUUCUGCGACGGAUCCGAGGUAGAGCAUAUAUGUUGGGACCCGAAAGAUGGUGAACUAUGCCUGCAUAGGGUGAAGCCAGAGGAAACUCUGGUGGAGGCUCGUAGCGAUUCUGACGUGCAAAUCGAUCGUCAAAUGUGGGUAUAGGGGCGAAAGACUAAUCGAACCAUCUAGUAGCUGGUUCCUGC